GUAUUCACUUCAAAACACAUGUAUUAAAAUUGGAAUAAUAUAGAGAAGAUUAGCCUGGCUCCU
Molecule: small nuclear RNA, 63 nt
Filed under: Spermophilus dauricus (Daurian ground squirrel)
Lineage: Eukaryota; Metazoa; Chordata; Mammalia; Rodentia; Sciuridae
Source: RNAcentral